Long non-coding RNA from Daphnia carinata, 1002 nucleotides. RefSeq lists it as uncharacterized. The transcript has 3 exons. The record is from RefSeq and is a predicted model, not a curated record. Lineage: Eukaryota; Metazoa; Arthropoda; Branchiopoda; Diplostraca; Daphniidae.
CAAAAGUUGAGCGAAGUUGAGUCCUGGCUGGACGUGAACGAAUCAACCGAACAGGAAGAAAAAAGAUUGCUUCCCUACUUUCUUUUUUAAUGGUUGCUCUUCAAAAAUGGGCGUCUCUGUCGACGUGAUUACACGUCCCUUUGGCCGUUUAAUGUGAUGACUGUGGCUAACCCCAGCCUAGAUUUCCAUCCGAAGCCAAAGGCUCAUUUCCCCGCAAUCGUUUGGAAAGAAUGGCGCUGGAUGAAAAACAAAAAUGGAAACAACGUACAUUUUGAUGAACAAUAAUCAACGACUGAAGCGAAAAGAAGAUAUUAAAAACUGACACGCUGCAUAUGUAUGUUUCUGAUAUGAUCUACCUUUUUUUUUAAGUUUUCUACUGGAGACCUUCUCUGUAUAUUGCUGUAACACGUGGAAGAUUGACUUCUGUUUCCACCUGGAAGAGCCGUCAGGUUCUUUCUACGUUCAUUUCACUACACGAGGGGAUGCGGACUUUACGGCGUUUGCCUUACCGUCUCAGGGUACGCUUAACCGCAUCUGACAUCAACGCAGUUUGUGAGUUUGAAUCGUGAUGACCUCGUUUGCAGAACAUUUCGAACUCAGCAGCUGAUGUCACGCACACCUGGGCAUCACGAAGGGUAGGAGGGGAAAAAAAAGAGAAAAAACGAGAAAUGGUAUCAAUUCAAUCUACUGUAAAAUUGCACCUGAAAAGAUUUGUGGUGAGACUUUAAAUCUUACGCUGGGUCGGAGGAUUUAUAUGAUGCGUUGGCAGCUUUGAAAAGAAAUCAAAGUAAACGCCGUUAGGUGUGACAAAUAAUAACUGGAUACAGGAGUUGUGUUACUGGGGGGAGAAAUAAAUGCUUUUCAAGUCGUGUUUUUCUUUUUAAAACCAAGUCCCAUUAUCUGUAAAAAGACGUGGAUAUCCACCUCAAUCCGUCCUCCCAUUUCUUUUUUUAAUCGUGUCUGUAUAGUAUCCCAACAUGAAAUGAUGUAUACAUAUAUAUA